AUGGCCGAGUGGUCUAAGGCGCCAGACUCAAGUUCUGGUCCUCUAACGAGGGCGUGGGUUCAAACCCCACUUCUGACAAUAAUUUUUGCUUUUUUCCUUGCUUAA
This 105-nucleotide ribosomal RNA is filed under the name Triticum aestivum (bread wheat). RNAcentral's name for it is "partial small subunit ribosomal RNA". The stretch from base 1 to 78 matches the Rfam family "tRNA". Rfam says of the family: Transfer RNA (tRNA) molecules are approximately 80 nucleotides in length. The record is from RNAcentral. Lineage: Eukaryota; Viridiplantae; Streptophyta; Magnoliopsida; Poales; Poaceae.